RNAcentral lists this transfer RNA (76 nucleotides) under Clostridioides difficile. RNAcentral describes it as "tRNA-Val". It matches the Rfam family "tRNA". From Rfam's summary of the family: Transfer RNA (tRNA) molecules are approximately 80 nucleotides in length. Their secondary structure includes four short double-helical elements and three loops (D, anti-codon, and T loops). Lineage: Bacteria; Bacillati; Bacillota; Clostridia; Peptostreptococcales; Peptostreptococcaceae. The record is from RNAcentral.
GGGACCAUAGCUCAGCUGGGAGAGCACCUGCCUUACAAGCAGGGGGUCACAGGUUCGGGCCCUGUUGGUCCCACCA